Molecule: long non-coding RNA, 1056 nt
Organism: Chenopodium quinoa (quinoa)
Lineage: Eukaryota; Viridiplantae; Streptophyta; Magnoliopsida; Caryophyllales; Amaranthaceae
Exons: 2
Source: RefSeq, a predicted model, not a curated record
UUGGUGCUUGUAUAAUGCAUUCAUUAAUUACACUAGCUCUAAAAUACUUGUAUGAUUUAGCGUUUUCUAUAUUAGGUUUUGAAUUAUUUGGAUAACUUAAACUACUUUGAAAUUAUAAUAGUGAUAAAAAUUUGGCACACAACUUAUCACAAUUUUGAUGAGAAUUACAAGCACAAAAAAAAUAUUGCACGUGAUCAUAUUCUUCCUUGCGUAUAAAUUUAAAAGAUGAUUAAAGUAGAUUAUUGUAUAUAAAGUCAGUGGCGGACCUGGGCUUGUGCCUGGUGGGUCAAGUGACUCACCAGGGCCCAAAAAAAUUCUAAGUUUUUUUUUUUUUUAAAAAAAUAAAAAAUAAAAAUAAAAAAUAAAAAAUUCUAACUUCAGCCUGUUCCCCUUUCACCUUCUCCUCGCCGCAGCUGCAACCACAUUUCGCGUUCCCCUUUCAUUCUCCCUCCUUAUUCACUAAUGGUCAUGGUGGUCGUGAGAGAUAACGACUGUGUGGUUUGAUUUCUAGGAUUUUUUUUGGUGUUCAUGGUAUGAGCUUCUUUAAACUUUCCCCUUUAAAUUUCAAAUUUAAGGUUUCUUUGCAUAAUUACUAGUUCAAAUCUUUGAUUUUUUUUCGAUUUCUAGGGUUUGGAUUUGUAACUGUUGGUGGUGGUGGAGAGCAGCGAUGGGAAGACUCAGCUUAUCAAUCAUUUUCUAAUCAACAAGAGUUGGUAUAUUGUUAAUUUGCCUGGAUAUGGGUGAGUCUCUGUAAUUUUGGUUUUAAUUUGGGCAAUUUCUGUAAUUCUUGAGUCUAUUUCAUGCUGGGAAUAUUGUAUACUUGUAUUGUGAAUCAAUUGUUAUUCGUGUUUAUUCCUGAUCAUAUGCUUGAAUCAUAUUGAAGUGCCAAAAAAGGAUUGCUUUUACGCCUUGAGGCAUUGCUUCAAAAUUAUUGAUCAUCCUGUAAAACAUGUUGUGCGGACUGAUAUGUAUUUAGGCUACAUCCGUUGUAGUUAAUUUGGUCUCCAAUCGUGUUGUUUAUUUUCAAGUUUAGGAAGUAAAUGUCUCCUUACAUGU